RNAcentral lists this long non-coding RNA (1882 nucleotides) under Olea europaea subsp. europaea. The record is from RNAcentral. Lineage: Eukaryota; Viridiplantae; Streptophyta; Magnoliopsida; Lamiales; Oleaceae.
UUGAAGUCCUACAACAUGAUAUUUUAUGUUGAAAUAAAUUCCUAUUUGAUUUUUUGCAUUAACUGGAGGCUGGAUUUUAAAAUUCUAUGUUUUUUCCCCUUUUAUUGUCUCAAAAACUAUUCUAAGAUUGGGAACAUUUUGCAGGUGCAUCUUGUCCAGUGGUGAAAUUUCCAUUGAUUUAUUUCGUGUUUUUACCUAAAAUUGGAAGGAGUAGCAAGAAUGUACAUUGCAAUUUCCCAAAAGAAACAUCGUAAAGUAAAGGAAGUUGGAAAAUUUGAAAUGACUGUUGGAACUAUUGCUUUCUACCAAUUGAUGCAAGUUUGUCAGGUGAGUGUGCUUCUUGUUUGCAGUAAUUAUGUUGUACAAGUAGCUUGCUUUAAUCUUCAGUCUGAUAUCUAAUAUAUGAUGCACCGACACGAUACGUGUCGGAUAUGUCGAUUCGUCAUUUUUCAAAAAAGUACCGACACGACACGUCGUCAUCACGUUGAUUAAAUUCUUUAAAAAUUUUCAUUUAUAUAGUAUAAAUUUAAUUUUAUACUUAUUAUUGAUUUUUCUUGUUGAAAUCUUUUAAAUAUGAGUGUUUAUUUGUUAUUUACUAAUAAUUUUGAGUUAAAAAUAUAUAAUAGCUACAGUAAGAAAGAAAAAUGAUUAUUGUAAAGUGUCCGAAAAGUGUCGGUAUCGACACGUGUCGGACACAAAUACGCUACUCUAGUUAGAGUAUUCGUGCUAUAGAGUAUCUAAUUAAUAUCAAUAAUGCUGAACUUAUCUCAAUUCAUUUUGCCCCUUUUAUUUAUUUAUUUAUUUAUUUAUUUAUUUAUUUUUAACUCAGAUUCUUUCUUCUAUAAAUUUGGAAAUUUGAUUUAUUUUCUUUUUUCAUAAGCUAUAUUAUAUCAGAUUUUGUGGACGGAUUCAUGGGGCAGUGUGUAUCUCUCUUAUUUGGCUGUUUUAGUUUCAAGUUAAUAGUGGUUAGCUAGUUCAUUGACUUAUUUUGCUUUACAGGCUGAAUAUUUCCGUCAGUUGCUUAAACCUGUUACGUAGUCCUGUACGGUGAUAAGCUUGUAAGACUGGGAUUGGUAGCCUUUUCCUUUCUCUGUGUUGAAAUUUUUUGAAGUGGCAUUGUAUACGCCUUAGGUGUACCACAAACGUCUUUUUUGUUAGUUUAUUCCCCUAAAACUUUUGGCAAUUUGAAAUCGAAGAGAACCCUUUUGAAAGCUGCAGAUUUGUGUAUCAGUGAAGUUGUUUACUGUUCCAAAUGCAUAGUGACCGAAAAUAUUUCCCUCAAAAUCCUGUCCUUCCUCAUCCCAAUCAAGUGGGCAGUUACUACAUGAGCAAAGCUCCUAUUCAAUCCAUUUUUGGUGGAACAGUUCUGCCCUCGGGUAUAAAACCUUCUAGGCUGUUCCAUGGUGUUGACUUUCUGACCUCUGAUGCAUGCCCGAGGAAUUUCGUAAUCUUUGACAAAACAAAAAAUAGAAGCCAAAUCAUGUUCCAUCCCGAGAUUGGUUCUAAGUUUCCUCAUCCUGAUUUUGGUGUUGGCAUGUCUAACUGCCUAGACAAUAUUGGUUGGAAGGACAAGAAGGAAGACAGAGAAAGAACUUCUUUCACAGAAGAUUCAUAUGAUAUUGAUGCUCUAUUGAGCACAGAAUAUGAACAUGAGGAGUAUGAUGGAGAUAAGCUGAGCACAGGACGAACCGAUGCAAACUAUGGAAGCGAAUCCUCAGAUUCAUGUUCUAAUUACGAAUCUCCGUCUAGAAAGAGGAGGUCACCUCCUUCCAAGAAGUCUUCUAAGGACAAGAAACGCCAGAAAAUGAGGAAAAUGGUGAAGGCAUUAAGAGGUAUUGUUCCGGGUGCCAACCAGAUGAGUACUGUAGCUGUUCUUGAUGAN